This 478-nucleotide long non-coding RNA is filed under the name Olea europaea subsp. europaea. The record is from RNAcentral. Lineage: Eukaryota; Viridiplantae; Streptophyta; Magnoliopsida; Lamiales; Oleaceae.
GAAGAAGGCUGCUACCUAGUGACGAUGAGCAGUUUCUGCUGCUGCCAUGACUCAAGUGGAGUAGCGAACCCCUCUGAUGCCGCCGUUUCGCGUGAAACGCUACAGCACCAAGAUUUGCCAUUGAUUCUCCUGCAUGGCAGUGGUGCUUUCGGGCGCUGUUGCUGCAUCUCUGUGGAAGGAAAAUGGCGAUGGUCCCAGGGUGGCGUGCUAGCAUUGAUCGGUGAUUGUUAUCAUUUUUUCAAUGUUUCCUUGUUUUUUUUUUUUUCGGCGCUGGUGGUUUUGCCCAGUGAAUGUGGUGGCGUGAUUUUUGGAGAAGCAACUGGUUAAGGUUGGUGUUACAACCCAAAUUUUUCCAGUAAAAUUCAACUGUUGACUAGUUAAAGUUAAAGUCAAUUAAAGACCUAAACUACUGAACGUGACGUCUCGGCAUAAUAUGGACCAUACUCUUUUUCAUAGCCUUGAGCCCAGAAGAAAAGGG